RNAcentral lists this transfer RNA (76 nucleotides) under Pelosinus fermentans. RNAcentral describes it as "tRNA_Gln_TTG". It matches the Rfam family "tRNA". From Rfam's summary of the family: Transfer RNA (tRNA) molecules are approximately 80 nucleotides in length. Their secondary structure includes four short double-helical elements and three loops (D, anti-codon, and T loops). RNAcentral also lists the same sequence under 8 other names. Lineage: Bacteria; Bacillati; Bacillota; Negativicutes; Selenomonadales; Sporomusaceae. The record is from RNAcentral.
AGGGGCAUAGCCAAGUUGGUAAGGCACGGGACUUUGACUCCCGCAUCCGUUGGUUCGAGUCCAGCUGCCCCUGCCA